Molecule: unclassified non-coding RNA, 69 nt
Filed under: Cloacibacterium normanense
Lineage: Bacteria; Pseudomonadati; Bacteroidota; Flavobacteriia; Flavobacteriales; Weeksellaceae
Description: Flavo-1 RNA
Source: RNAcentral
AUUUUGCGUGAGGGCGAAACUGGAAAUCCUUUUUUGCAAAAAAAGAUUGGAAGUGUAGACCGACUUUUU